Non-coding RNA from Oryza sativa Japonica Group (Japanese rice), 7141 nucleotides. The record is from RefSeq and is a predicted model, not a curated record. NCBI's taxonomy places the organism in Eukaryota, Viridiplantae, Streptophyta, Magnoliopsida, Poales, Poaceae.
AAACCCUAGCCGGCACCAUUCCUCUGCCUCUCCUCCUCUCUCUCCGCUCUCUCUCCUGCCAAGCGACGGCCGCCGCCGCUGCUUGCCGUCCCCCUCAUCCUCUUCUUCCCGCAGUUGGCGACCUCCCCCGCGCACUCCCUACUGCGAGCCGCUGCUGUCGCCGUGCCGUCGUCCUGCCAUCGCCAUCCUUUCGCUCCCGCCGCCGCAUCCGCCAACGAGGAGGCCGGGACUGUCGGAUCCGGUGACUCCGGCCUCCUCGCCGGCAGAUCCGGCCGCCCUGAAGCGGGGGAAGCCUGGAGCCGCCCUCUACUCUUCUCCCUCUACGCCCGGCACAGCCCCUCCCUCUCCCUCUCCAUCUUCAUUUCCGGAUCGAUGGAUGCCUGUGAUUAGGUGGCCUAGGGCUCAUGGUUGACGGCGUUGGUUGAUCCGGCGGCGCAGCACACGAUCUGGUGGUGGUGCGACGCAAAGGGAUCGACACAGUUCAGCCAAGCAAGGCAGAUAUCUGCAUCUCAGCAGCUACAUGCGCAUCCAACCUCUGCCAUCAGGCUUUGUACGGAAGCCUGAUUUCUUGCAUUCUUCUUCAUUAACCUACCCUCUAUUUCUAUUGGUGAUGUAGUAGCAGAUUGUUGGUAAGGUACAGGGACGCCCAGUUGCUCCGAAAGAUUGUCUUCGCCCGCAGCCCCCUGUUGCUGUCUUGAGCUCCUUGGUCAGUUCAGUGCCUUCUUUAAUGUUUGUUUCUCCAAUAUUUGAAGAGUGGUGAUGGAUAGAAAUAGGAAAUGAAAGAAGCCGCUUUUGAGAGGUACAUAUUGGUUAUUCAACUACACCAGAAAUUACCCUAUUUAGCACAGAGUUGAUUGAAAGAUUGAGAUGUAUUUCUUGCUUUCUCACAUCUGUUUCAUUCACCUGUUGUGUAAUGCAAUAUACAGAUAAUAAGUUUGUUCUUUAGAAAACCCUUCCUGUAGAUGGUGAUUAAUAUAUGCUCUAGAAUUUAAAUAGCAGCUGUCAUUUUUUCUGCCUUUCAUUCAUGGUAGAGAUAACAUGAACAAAGAGCUGCAACCUUUUAAGUUUUAACCUUUCUAAUUCUGAUUUACUCACCUUAAUUUUUCCCUUAGGUAUAGCUGGCUUCAAAACAUAUAUGCUCCCUCUCCACCCAUAACAGCAAAUUCAGAUGCAUUUCAUCCUUUCCCGCAUAGUUCCAGUGGAGCUGAAUGAACACUGGGUUUUAUUAUUUUGUACAGAACUCAAAUGCAACUUAAUAUUUGCAUAAAUCCAGUAUGCAUUGCUUCUCCGUGCACCCACAACAAUAAGCAUUCUUUUUGGUACAAUCUGAUGAUGUUUCUACAGCUUACUGCCUCUGCAUCGAAGACCAGCCAAUCUGGAAGAUUGAAAAAAUGGAUUGCUUGAAGAACAGAAGACAUUGUAGGAGUUCUCUUUGUAUGGCUACAACAAGAUGGUUGUUGUAGCACUGAGCAUCAGAAGUCAUUGUUGCCAAACUCAUAAUCUGAAUGGUAAUGCGUGAAAUGUUUUGGUACUAUCAGUCACCGACUCAUGGUGCUCUCUAAUUUGACAGCAAAAUUUGUUGCUGAACAGGACUACUUAAUUGCUAUGAUCUAAUUCUUACUAUUUCGUAUAUGAUCUAAUUCUUGAUCAUCUGGUGUGGCACUUUAUUCUAAAUUUUUGAAGCGCCUAUGUGUUCACUCCCUUUAUUUUGUUGUUUUCAAAGGCCAUGAUCUGCCAAUGGAACUCAACAGCUCAUCAGUGCUAAUUACCAGAGGAGAUAAUGAAGUGAAGGCUUUGGUUGCUCCUGCAUCACUGCUUGCCCAUAAUGCUGAAUUGGAGGGGAAGUGGUGGUUCAGAAGAUCGAGGACAGUGAGUGUAAAGUCAGUUACAAUGCGAUGAACAUUAAGUAUGAGAACUCGAUCAAGGCAAGUGUUAUCAACCCAGCUAAGGUGAGAAGAUGCAUGCUCCAGAACGCAGCCUGAGUGGUUGCAAUGGUCCUCACCUUACAGGCCAUUGUUAUUGAGCAGCCGAAGCCCAAGGCUCCUGUUUAUCAGCUAACAGAGGGAACCAACACACUAUUUCAGGAUAAGCCACAUGACAUGCUGCCAAAAACCUGGUCAUGUCAAGGACAAAUCCUGACACCCGGUAGGUGUUUGCUACACAUGUCACUCCUAUCAUUCUUGUUAUAUUGCAAUUGUCAAGAGAAAUUAAGCUUUGGAAUAAGUGUGGUUAUCUGAUUUACAUAUGAGUGUGUUGGGUUGUGGGGAUAUUCAACAAAUAAUGGAGUCGCGAGUCUGUACUUGUCAAGAAGCAGCGAUAGAUUCAAUGGAGGCAUUAGCACUUGGAUGGUCUUACAAGAAUUUAGUGCAAUGGAUAUGUGCCUUUUAUUCUCUUAUAAAAUUGCCAGUUUGUUUGUCCUUGGAGGCUUGGACACGAAAUGUUUGAUGACAUUAGGCUUAUCAUCUUAUUGCCUGCUAUGCUAAAUUGUCAUUAUGGUCUAUUUUUUUUUUCAACUUGUUCUUUUCUCAGGACACUACAAGAUAUUUGACAUUGCUGGUGUUUUAGAGUUUUUUAUGGGCUACAUUUGAAUAUCUGAUCAUUGGUCAGCACUGAUUCCAUGGGUAUUUAUUUUUUUUAUAUCAAGAUUAAAUUGUAUGUUACAAAAUCGAUACUCUUGUGCCAUAAUUGUUUUUCGUCCACGCUGCUUAAAAAAAAACCAGUAAAAGCAAAUUCUGUUAGCUGAGUAGUCAUUUUGCCUGAUAUAAUUAACCACCUGCAUCAACGUGAAUUAUGACAAACUCAACUUUUCUGAUGCCAUUGGUGCGGCGCGCUAACUCUAGUCUAAAGUCUUCAAACCUACUGGGAAAUGAAGCUCCCACGGCAUUUUGAGCUGGCGUGGCCAUCUCGAGGUCGCGACGCGUGGACGCGUGCUGGAAAACGGUGGGAUUUCUCGUGCGUCCGCGUCGGCCCUGGUCAUUUUGCAAAAAGUCCGGCUAUUUAUCGAUAAUUUGUUUUACGUGCCUACUCAUGGGGUUUACAUGUACUGGUUUCUUACGAAUAAGCCCUCUGUAAUCCAAAAUAUUCUAGGUAAAGAAGCGAAAAACCAUAAAAUAGGACUGCGCUUAGAAAAAUGGAAAGUAAAGGUUUUUUUCGAAAAACUUUUUACCCCUAUCGCCCCCUCCCGCGAAACCCUAUCCGCCGCCGGCCCGCCGUUCCCCGCUCCUCUCCUCUCUCGCGCGCUCUCCCUAGCCCACGCCGCCGCCUCCUCCUCCUCCUCGCGCCUCCCGCCCCCGCUACGCCGCGCCGCAAACUCUCCUCACUGCGUCGCCGCCGCCGCGCCUCCCGCACUCUUCUAGCACCCAGGUGCAUCACCGCACCUCCCUCUUGCCACCGCGAGGCAGGUUCUGGUGGAGGGGAGGUCGUGCCCGCCUGAUCCGGCAACCACGAUCUCCCUGCCGGCAGAUCCGAUCACCCGGAGGCUUGGGAUGAUCCAGAGCCGGUGGGGAAGUUGGAUGUGACAGAUCAAGGCCGCCGGAUCUGUUGAGCUCAGCAGCGGCAGCAGCUUGGCGAUGAUGGCAGCAAUGUCUCAGACAUGCCCUCCUCCCCACUGGUGACAAGCAUGAGGCCACGGCCGAAGCUUAUCUUUCGCACCUCCAUCAGACCUUGUAAUUCUAGGGAAGAAGCUCGGCCAACUGCGACCUUCUAACGCAGGGAAGGAUGGAAAGGAGUGGCUCCUGCUUGAAGAGCUGCAGGGACAGAUCGCCAGGAUACAGGGCAGCCUCGAGGAAUGUGAACCAUGGCAAUCUGCAUAGCCCUUCAUUUGGAAGCUAUGUCCCCCCAACUAUUGAGUACUAUUUUUUUAGCUCCACCUCCCUUUUCAUUCAAGGUAAAAUUGAAAAUAUCAUUUGAAAGUUUGUAAAAUACUAUGUAUUUGGCGUUUGAAUCCUACAUGGCUGCACAAUAUUUGCACACUAUCUCUGAAUUUUGGGUAAAAGUUAGUAAUUAUUUUAAAGACAAGCUAGAUAUAUGGAGUUUUUAAAAUAUAACCUCUAUUAUUAGUUAUUGGUUCUCGCUGGUAAAGCAAGUAUACAGUUAAUCAAUCUGGGCACUGCAACCUUAAAGCAAAAGUUUUCCUUACUUAGUUUUCCUUACUUGUUCUUGCUUUUCUUCAAAUUAAGUUGAAAUCUAAAUAUUCAUCCAGUGAUUUUGGAAGAUGAAAAACACUCGUGUGUAUGAUGGAGUUUAUAGGAGAGUAGCACAGUUACUUGCAAGACAUUUGUCCCCUUUUGAAACAAAGUACUUAUUUAUUUUAUAUAGUACAAGAUAUUUGUUCAGUGAGUAGAUAAAAAUCCAGUUUGUUGUGAAGGCUUUCAAAUGGGCUAAUUUUGCACUAUAUGAUUAGCCCUUUGCUUAUAUAUGAACUUUUUUUUUAACAUUCUCUUGCUGUUGCUGCUGCUUAGUGACAUUUCUCAUUCUGUGCUUUCAGCAGGGCAGCUUUGCUCUUAUGCAAGUGACAUGUUAACACUGCAGUUGUUAUACUAUAGGCUGUGUGAUAGUGUGCUGGUCAAGUCGGACGCAUACUAAAUGUUUGUGAUCUUUUGAUGAUUAAUUUACCUUGUUUUAUAGGUGUAGAAAUUGGUGGAAGCAUAGUUGGUUUGUUUCUGCUCUCAUUUCAGGUCUACUUGUCCCGUACUGUUUGCUGCCGGCGUGGACGCUGCUGAGUCCCCACACAUCAGCCACGACUAGAAUCCUGGAAUAGCCGCUACCAUAUAUAUGGCGUUUGCUUCCUAGAAUCCUUUUGCUUUACAUAAAACUGCAAUCCAGACUAUGAACAAACACUUAUGGUUCAAAUCCUAUAACCCUUAAUUAUUAUUACUCUAAAUGUCUACUGCUUUGAUAUGAUCCUUAUCUUCAGCUUAAACAUAUGCCAUGAAAAAAAAAUGCAUGAGGUAACUCUCAGCCAACUAUGGUUUGCUAUCCUCUAGAUGGAAAGGUAUAGCUGGGGUACAUAUUUGUAGCUAAUCUGGGAUGAGCUACAUUUUUUUUCCAGCCUGAUUCAUGUCUAGCAAUGUAAGCUUUAUAAAUAUUUGAUCUUAGUCAAUCUUGUGGAAAUGGUAUUAUUUUGGCUUAAUUUUCCUUUCUUAUCUUUCGGAAUAACAUAGCUUCCUGAUCACCAAACUGCUCAUGCUCCUUGAUUAGAACAUAAAUGGUUAGUAAUAAAAAUGUAUUGUCCCUCCCCAUAUCUCUGUUUCCCCCCCAUUUUUCCAUGGUUGUAUGGGUUUGGUCCCCUUUUAUCAGUCAAGGACAGGACUGCUCUUGGGCGAGUCAAACAAUUUCCACUUAGCACAUUCCUUUCGUUAUUUUUCGGAGCAAAUCAUUUUUCUAUAAAAAAUGCUUUACCCUACUCUACUCCACUACUAACAUCUCAACACACUCUGUUUAUGUGAGCAAACAUAUAUAAAUUAUGUGUACAACCGUACCUCUCACAUAUGUAGUUUUUUAUCUGUAGAUUAAUUGAAUAUGCACAUGAGAAUUGCUUGAUUAGGCCUGGUGUUAUGGUGCUGAAUUGCUGAUUGAAAAGCUGGUGAUAAUGUUGGUAUCGUUUUGGUAUUAGUUCAUAUUUUAGAAAGGUUGCAAGCUUAUUGCUAUUAUGUUGGCUUAAUACUCACAGGCAGAUGUUGUUUUUGCAUGCUAAGUGAUAUUGAUAGGUGCUAAGCUCUUGGAAAUUGUUACAAACCAGAAACAUAAUUACCUCAUUCAGUUUUUCUACAAUAAAUAUUUUUCUCUUGAAUGACCAAAAUUAAUUCUAUGCCUUCUUUUUGCUUAAUUGUUGAUUACACAUUUAUGCUAAACUAAUUACUGCUCUUUCUGUGACAUUUUAAGCAUCCUCUGACAAGUGUUAGGUAGAGCCUGCUUUCAUUUGCCGCAGAUCGGGUUUAAGUGUAUGAUCAACAAAGUGGAACACUCAUGGAUAUCAUACCUAAUUAUUGUUGUUAACCAGGAAACGAACUCGGCAAAUCCAGAGAAAGUGUCGACACCUAAGAUUUUGAAGCACACAGCUGACAAAGUGGACAUGGUGUAACAAUUUCUAGAACAAGAUGCACCAUUUAUAGAGAAAAAUGUAGUACACGUAUUCCCAUAGCAGUCCUAGGAGUGCAAUUGAUUUUUUUACAUGGAUGAAAUGGAAGGCACGAUACUCUGUUCCUGUGAAUGAAUUGAGACCAUCCUAAUGUUGGUUUGCACAGUUUGAUCAUGCAAAGUUAUAGAAGAUGUUGUGGUGGUCUUGCGGAGGUGGGUAUCCAUUACUGGUGAUUAAGGUGUUAAAUUUGCUUGGAUUUUCCAUUGCUCAGAAUUGUAUAUUUCCAUUACUGAAAAUUGCAGGCAACAAGUUUGAUUCCAUUGGCCAAUAUAAUCUUUUAGUGAUGUUGUGUAAAAUGUUAUGUCAAAUCCAUGAGUAUUACCCACACUAGAACCAAAUUUGUGCCACAAUGUGUUGUGAUUAUUGCUGAGGCAUAGAAUUUAUUUGUAAAAAAAAAUGUGUUAUUAGCUUGACAGAAGAAAAAAACUACCAGAUUACGUUUUAUAGGAUAAACAUUGAACUAAUUUGUUUAGUAUGACAUUUUGUUGAAGCUAUCUUUUUCUUAAUGACUUUGGAAGUAAUGUAGUGUUUCAUAACUAAUUACAAUACCUUCAAUGAAGAGAUUAUCGUCCUAAUGCUUUUGUUUCAUGUGCACUCUAUUGCGUUAAAAAAAGAAGAAGUGGAACCUGAAGAACUUUAGAGGACCUCGCUUGGCCAGUUGGCCUGUCUCUGUGUCAUUAUAGCUUCUCACUUACAGGCAACCAAGGUCUCUUCAUGGAUUAUUGCUUGUGGAUGGCCAUGCUCUUCAACAAAAUGAAAAGGUUAAAUAUAAUGAAAUAUUAUUUCCUUGAUCCCAUAAAGCUUCAGAUGUAGAGUGUGAGCUUGCUGCCCUGUGAGCUAAAAUUCCAUUUUUUUACAUAUUCCUAUUGUACUAUUCAUGGCUGCUUUAUAAUUGAUGUGCUUUCGUUUGUAGAGUGUGCUUGAAUUAUUAAUCAAAUAAGCAGAUUUACUGUAGGAAUUCAUGUAAGCAUAUUUUAUAAACAUCACUAAACUUGCCAUUCA